GGUCUCGUGGCCGAGCGGUUAGGCAGUGGUCUGCAAAACCAUGUACACCAGUUCGAAUCUGGUCGAGACCUCAA
This 74-nucleotide transfer RNA is filed under the name Flavobacteriales bacterium. RNAcentral's name for it is "tRNA-Cys". It matches the Rfam family "tRNA". From Rfam's summary of the family: Transfer RNA (tRNA) molecules are approximately 80 nucleotides in length. Their secondary structure includes four short double-helical elements and three loops (D, anti-codon, and T loops). Further hydrogen bonds mediate the characteristic L-shaped molecular structure. tRNAs have two regions of fundamental functional importance: the anti-codon, which is responsible for specific mRNA codon recognition, and the 3' end, to which the tRNAs corresponding amino acid is attached (by aminoacyl-tRNA synthetases). tRNAs cope with the degeneracy of the genetic code in two manners: having more than one tRNA (with a specific anti-codon) for a particular amino acid; and 'wobble' base-pairing, i.e. permitting non-standard base-pairing at the 3rd anti-codon position. Lineage: Bacteria; Pseudomonadati; Bacteroidota; Flavobacteriia; Flavobacteriales. The record is from RNAcentral.